Molecule: long non-coding RNA, 290 nt
Organism: Sapajus apella (tufted capuchin)
Lineage: Eukaryota; Metazoa; Chordata; Mammalia; Primates; Cebidae
Exons: 2
Source: RefSeq, a predicted model, not a curated record
UGAUCUGCCCAUCUCAGCCUCCCAAAGCGUUGGAAUUACAGGCGUGAGCCACCGCGCCGGCCCAUUUCCCUACCACAUCUGCACAGUUCCUUUUGCCAGCUAACCUGAAGCAGGUGUGAUGGUCCAGCCACCAACUUGGACCAAGGGAAGGCAGAGCUCUGCUUAGUGCUAUGGAGAGAGGUUGUCUGAAGAAGCCUGAUCCCAAGGUCCUUCAGGCUGAUACCAGACGUCUGUGCCAUCCAUCCGGACUUUUAUUACAUUAGAACGAAAUAUAGUUUUAUCUUAUUUAA